CCUACGGGUGGCAGCAGUGGGGAAUAUUGCACAAUGGGGGAAACCCUGAUGCAGCGACGCCGCGUGAGUGAAGAAGUAUUUCGGUACGUAAAGCUCUAUCAGCAGGGAAGAAAAUGACGGUACCUGACUAAGAAGCCCCGGCUAACUACGUGCCAGCAGCCGCGGUAAUACGUAGGGGGCAAGCGUUAUCCGGAUUUACUGGGUGUAAAGGGAGCGUAGACGGCAGCGCAAGUCUGGAGUGAAAUCCCAUGGCUUAACCAUGGAACUGCUUUGGAAACUGUGCAGCUGGAGUGCAGGAGAGGUAAGCGGAAUUCCUAGUGUAGCGGUGAAAUGCGUAGAUAUUAGGAGGAACACCGAUUGCGAAGGCAGCUUACCAAGCUACUUCUGACGUUGAGGCACGAAAGCGUGGGGAGCAAACAGGAUUAGAUACCCCUGUAGUC
This 440-nucleotide ribosomal RNA is filed under the name uncultured bacterium. Its description in RNAcentral is "partial 16S ribosomal RNA". It matches the Rfam family "Bacterial small subunit ribosomal RNA", at positions 338 to 795 of the family's 1533-position model. The record is from RNAcentral.